Molecule: ribosomal RNA, 492 nt
Filed under: Aphelenchus avenae
Lineage: Eukaryota; Metazoa; Nematoda; Chromadorea; Rhabditida; Aphelenchidae
Description: partial small subunit ribosomal RNA
Rfam family: Eukaryotic small subunit ribosomal RNA (bases 1-193)
Source: RNAcentral
UUGAUUACGUCCCUGCCCUUUGUACACACCGCCCGUCGCUGCCCGGGACUGAGCCAUUUCGAGAAAAUCGGGGAUUGCUGAUUUCUGUUCUUUCGGGAACAGACUUUGGCGAAAACCGAUUUAAUCGCAGUGGCUUGAACCGGGCAAAAGUCGUAACAAGGUAGCUGUAGGUGAACCUGCAGCUGGAUCACUAACGAUUCGAUGUUUCAAUGCCUUUAUAAUAAGCAAAAUGCGAGAUACUUGCUUAGCGAGUUCCGUCUGGCCACGCUCCAUGCGAGAGGAGAAGGUCGGACCGCUAAAACGAAACGGCCAUGCAGGUUUCUGUCGCACACGUUGAGCAGUUGUGACUGUCCGUGACUGCUAUGAUACAGUGCGAGUGCGCUUCGAGCGAAAAAUUAAAGAGCACACGCUAGGUGCCGCCUGCCGAUUACCCUAUUUUUCAUCAUUUUCAUUUAAAGAGUAUCAGUCUUAUCGGUGGAUCACUCGGCUCGU